CAGACCACGGGCCUGAGCAUCAGGACUCCAGAAGACCUUUCCAGAUUCGUGGUUGAGCUGCAGCAGAGGGAGCUUGCCUUGAAGGACAAGAACAGCGCUGUCACCAGCAGCCCGGCUCUUCUCUGGUUUCACUCGUGGCUGUGAGGGGCCGUCCACGCUCCGGCAUCACACCCAGAGGCGGAAAGGAGAGGCCUCUUUUUUUGAUCUUUUCUGUACAAGGAAGCCUUUCCUAGGACCCCCACUGCCAGCAAGGACCCCUUAUGCCUCCUUGGCUAAAAAGGGGUCUUAUGCCUGCCCCUGACCAGAAGAUGGAGCUACCAUGAGGGACUGAACCCCGUCCGGUGGAACCUGUGGGGCUGGUGGGCAGUGGG
This 371-nucleotide small RNA is filed under the name Pongo abelii (Sumatran orangutan). Its description in RNAcentral is "processed transcript". The record is from RNAcentral. Lineage: Eukaryota; Metazoa; Chordata; Mammalia; Primates; Hominidae.